RNAcentral lists this ribosomal RNA (468 nucleotides) under uncultured bacterium. RNAcentral's name for it is "partial 16S ribosomal RNA". It matches the Rfam family "Bacterial small subunit ribosomal RNA", at positions 28 to 507 of the family's 1533-position model. The record is from RNAcentral.
GACGAACGCUGGCGGCGUGCUUAACACAUGCAAGUCGAACGGAAAGGCCCUGCUUUUGUGGGGUGCUCGAGUGGCGAACGGGUGAGUAACACGUGAGUAACCUGCCCUUGACUUUGGGAUAACUUCAGGAAACUGGGGCUAAUACCGGAUAGGAGCUCCUGCUGCAUGGUGGGGGUUGGAAAGUUUCGGCGGUUGGGGAUGGACUCGCGGCUUAUCAGCUUGUUGGUGGGGUAGUGGCUUACCAAGGCUUUGACGGGUAGCCGGCCUGAGAGGGUGACCGGCCACAUUGGGCCUGCGAUACGGCCCAGACUCCUACGGGAGGCAGCAGUGGGGAAUAUUGCACAAUGGGCGGAAGCCUGAUGCAGCAACGCCGCGUGCGGGAUGACGGCCUUCGGGUUGUAAACCGCUUUCGCCUGUGACGAAGCGUGAGUGACGGUACUGGGUGAAGAAGCACCGGCUAACUACGUG